This 901-nucleotide ribosomal RNA is filed under the name uncultured bacterium. RNAcentral describes it as "bacterial SSU rRNA". It matches the Rfam family "Bacterial small subunit ribosomal RNA", at positions 465 to 1357 of the family's 1533-position model. The record is from RNAcentral.
UUUUUUUAUGUUUCACCAAGAAAAAGCAUUUGGUACUUCCGUGCCCACAGCCCGGGGUAAUACGGGGGAGGGAAGCGGUUUCUGGAUUUUUUAGGUUUAAAGGGUGGGCCAGGCGGGUUUUUAAUUCAGCGGUCAAAUCGUGGGGUUCAACCCCAUCCACCCGUUGAAACUGGGGAUCUAGAGUGUGCGAGAGGGUAUGCGGAAUGCGGGGUGUAGCGGUGAAAUGCAUAGAUAUCACGCAGAACCCCGAUUGCGAAGGCAGCAUACCGGUGCACAACUGACGCUCAGGCACGAAAGCGUGGGUAUCGAACACGAUUAGAUACCCUGGUAGUCCACGCAGUAAACGAUGAAUGCUACCUGUUUGGCCAGAUUGAAGGCUGAGCGGGACAGCGAAAGCGUUAAGCAUUCCACCUGGGGAGUACGCCGGCAACGGUGAAACUCAAAGGAAUUGACGGGGGCCCGCACAAGCGGAGGAACAUGUGGUUUAAUUCGAUGAUACGCGAGGAACCUUACCCGGGCUCAAACGCAUACUGACGACAGUUGAAAGAUUGUUUCCCUUCGGGGCAUUAUGUGAGGUGGUGCAUGGUUGUCGUCAGCUCGUGCCGUGAGGUGUCGGCUUAAGUGCCAUAACGAGCGCAACCCCUAUCGACAGUUGCUAACGAGUCGAGUCGAGGACUCUGUCGAGACUGCCGGCGCAAGCUGUGAGGAAGGUCGGGGACGAAGUCAAAUCAGCACGGCCCUUACGUCCGGGGAGACACACGUGUUACAAUGGGCAGGGACAGCGGGGAAGCCACCUAAGCGAUUGGGCGUGGAACCCGAAACCCUGUCUCACUUAGGAUGGGAGUAUUCAACUCGACUCCAUGAAGCUGGAUUCGUGUAGUAAUCUGCGCAUCAGCCAUGG